Molecule: ribosomal RNA, 200 nt
Filed under: uncultured bacterium
Lineage: Bacteria
Description: partial 16S ribosomal RNA
Rfam family: Bacterial small subunit ribosomal RNA
Source: RNAcentral
GUAGGCUGCAACCCGCCUACAUGAAGUUGGAAUUGCUGUAAUCGCAGAUCAGAAUGCUGCGGUGAAUACGUUCCCGGGCCUUGUACACACCGCCCGUCACACCAUGGGAGCCGGUAAUACCCGAAGUCAGUAGUCUAACCGCAAGGGGGACGCUGCCGAAGGUAGGAUUGGCGACUGGGGUGAAGUCGUAACAAGGUAGC